GCUGGGGCUCAGUGGUAGAGCACUCGCCUGGCACGCACGAGGCACUGGGUUUGAUCCUCAGCAGCA
This 66-nucleotide transfer RNA is filed under the name Marmota monax (woodchuck). RNAcentral's name for it is "tRNA.Ala". Lineage: Eukaryota; Metazoa; Chordata; Mammalia; Rodentia; Sciuridae. The record is from RNAcentral.